AUUGAACGCUGGCGGCAGGCCUAACACAUGCAAGUCGAGCGGAUGAAGGGAGCUUGCUCCUGGAUUCAGCGGCGGACGGGUGAGUAAUGCCUAGGAAUCUGCCUGGUAGUGGGGGAUAACGUCCGGAACCGGGCGCUAAUACCGCAUACGUCCUGAGGGAGAAAGUGGGGGAUCUUCGGACCUCCCGCUAUCGGAUGAGCCUAGGUCGGAUUAGCUAGUUGGUGGGGUAAAGGCCUACCAAGGCGACGAUCCGUAACUGGUCUGAGAGGAUGAUCAGUCACACUGGAACUGAGACACGGUCCAGACUCCUACGGGAGGCAGCAGUGGGGAAUAUUGGACAAUGGGCGAAAGCCUGAUCCAGCCAUGCCGCGUGUGUGAAGAAGGUCUUCGGAUUGUAAAGCACUUUAAGUUGGGAGGAAGGGCAGUAAGUUAAUACCUUGCUGUUUUGACGUUACCAACAGAAUAAGCACCGGCUAACUUCGUG
This 484-nucleotide ribosomal RNA is filed under the name uncultured bacterium. RNAcentral's name for it is "partial 16S ribosomal RNA". It matches the Rfam family "Bacterial small subunit ribosomal RNA", at positions 30 to 507 of the family's 1533-position model. The record is from RNAcentral.